GUGCCUCAAUCUAUUGAGUAAGGAAAUUAUUGGGCCUUGGUAACGCUUGGCUAUGCCUUCAUUGGCGUCCAUAUUUUUUAAGGGUACAGGUCGUCCUCUUGAGUCAUGCACCUACUUUGUGCGUGGUUCGGGUGAAGCGAUCUGCCUU
This is a small nuclear RNA of Plutella xylostella (diamondback moth), 148 nucleotides long. RefSeq annotates it as U12 minor spliceosomal RNA. Lineage: Eukaryota; Metazoa; Arthropoda; Insecta; Lepidoptera; Plutellidae. The record is from RefSeq and is a predicted model, not a curated record.